Molecule: ribosomal RNA, 639 nt
Filed under: bacterium
Lineage: Bacteria
Description: bacterial SSU rRNA
Rfam family: Bacterial small subunit ribosomal RNA
Source: RNAcentral
AGCUUGCUGCUUCGCUGACGAGUGGCGGACGGGUGAGUAAUGUCUGGGAAACUGCCUGAUGGAGGGGGAUAACUACUGGAAACGGUAGCUAAUACCGCAUAACGUCGCAAGACCAAAGAGGGGGACCUUCGGGCCUCUUGCCAUCGGAUGUGCCCAGAUGGGAUUAGCUAGUAGGUGGGGUAACGGCUCACCUAGGCGACGAUCCCUAGCUGGUCUGAGAGGAUGACCAGCCACACUGGAACUGAGACACGGUCCAGACUCCUACGGGAGGCAGCAGUGGGGAAUAUUGCACAAUGGGCGCAAGCCUGAUGCAGCCAUGCCGCGUGUAUGAAGAAGGCCUUCGGGUUGUAAAGUACUUUCAGCGGGGAGGAAGGGAGUAAAGUUAAUACCUUUGCUCAUUGACGUUACCCGCAGAAGAAGCACCGGCUAACUCCGUGCCAGCAGCCGCGGUAAUACGGAGGGUGCAAGCGUUAAUCGGAAUUACUGGGCGUAAAGCGCACGCAGGCGGUUUGUUAAGUCAGAUGUGAAAUCCCCGGGCUCAACCUGGGAACUGCAUCUGAUACUGGCAAGCUUGAGUCUCGUAGAGGGGGGUAGAAUUCCAUAGUUAGCCGGUGAGAAGAGGACAGUGGAACUCCAUGU